RNAcentral lists this ribosomal RNA (561 nucleotides) under Triangularia longicaudata. Its description in RNAcentral is "partial 28S ribosomal RNA". It matches the Rfam family "Eukaryotic large subunit ribosomal RNA", at positions 38 to 625 of the family's 3401-position model. The record is from RNAcentral. Lineage: Eukaryota; Fungi; Ascomycota; Sordariomycetes; Sordariales; Podosporaceae.
GCAUAUCAAUAAGCGGAGGAAAAGAAACCAACAGGGAUUGCCUCAGUAACGGCGAGUGAAGCGGCAACAGCUCAAAUUUGAAAUCUGGCCUCGGCCCGAGUUGUAAUUUGUAGAGGAAGCUUUGGGUGCGGCACCGACCGAGUCCCCUGGAACGGGGCGCCAUAGAGGGUGAGAGCCCCGUAUGGUUGGACGCCUAUCCUGUGUAAAGCUCCUUCGACGAGUCGAGUAGUUUGGGAAUGCUGCUCAAAAUGGGAGGUAAAUUUCUUCUAAAGCUAAAUAUUGGCCAGAGACCGAUAGCGCACAAGUAGAGUGAUCGAAAGAUGAAAAGCACUUUGAAAAGAGGGUUAAAUAGCACGUGAAAUUGUUGAAAGGGAAGCGCUUGUGACCAGACUUGCGCCUCGUCGAUCAUCCGGGGUUCUCCCCGGUGCACUCGGCGGGGCUCAGGCCAGCAUCGGUUUUCGCGGGGGGACAAAGGUCCCGGGAACGUAGCUCCUCCGGGAGUGUUAUAGCCCGGGGCGUAAUGCCCUCGCGGGGACCGAGGACCGCGCUUCGGCAAGGAUG